CCCUUAGAUGUUCGGGGCCGCACGCGCGCUACACUGAAUGAAUCAGCGAGUGUAUGUCCUAGGCCGAAAGGUCCGGGUAACCCGUUGAACCUCAUUCGUGAUUGGGAUAGGGACUUGCAAUUGUUUCCCUUGAACGAGGAAUUCCCAGUAAGCGCAAGUCAUCAGCUUGCGUUGAUUACGUCCCUGCCCUUUGUACACACCGCCCGUCGCACCUACCGAUUGAAUGGUCCGGUGAAAUCUUCGGAUUGAGACUUUGAUUUCUUCACGGAAAACGCUGUUUUAAAAAGUUGAUUAAACCUUACCAUUUAGAGGAAGGUGAAGUCGUAACA
Molecule: ribosomal RNA, 329 nt
Filed under: uncultured eukaryote
Lineage: Eukaryota
Description: partial 18S ribosomal RNA
Rfam family: Eukaryotic small subunit ribosomal RNA
Source: RNAcentral